AGAGUUUGAUCCUGGCUCAGGAUGAACGCUAGCGACAGGCUUAACACAUGCAAGUCGAGGGGCAGCGGGGCGGCAGGCUUGCCUGCCGUUGCCGGCGACCGGCGCACGGGUGAGUAACACGUAUGCAACCUGCCCGUGGCAGGGGGAUAAGCGGGGGAAACCCCGUCUAAUACCGCGUAACGCGGCCUAGGGACAUCCCAAGGCCGCCAAAGGGAGCAAUCCCGGCCACGGAUGGGCAUGCGGCGCAUUAGCUAGUCGGCGGGGUAACGGCCCACCGAGGCGACGAUGCGUAGGGGUUCUGAGAGGAAGGCCCCCCACACUGGUACUGAGACACGGACCAGACUCCUACGGGAGGCAGCAGUGAGGAACAUUGGUCAAUGGGCGCGAGCCUGAACCAGCCAAGUCGCGUGAGGGAGGACGGCCCUACGGGUUGUAAACCUCUUUUGCCGGGGAGCAACGGGCGUCACGUGUGGCGCCACUGAGAGUACCCGGAGAAAAAGCAUCGGCUAACUCCGUGCCAGCAGCCGCGGUAAUACGGAGGAUGCGAGCGUUAUCCGGAUUUAUUGAGUUUAAAGGGUG
Molecule: ribosomal RNA, 579 nt
Filed under: uncultured bacterium
Lineage: Bacteria
Description: bacterial SSU rRNA
Rfam family: Bacterial small subunit ribosomal RNA
Source: RNAcentral